Molecule: small RNA, 902 nt
Filed under: Vigna angularis var. angularis
Lineage: Eukaryota; Viridiplantae; Streptophyta; Magnoliopsida; Fabales; Fabaceae
Description: Non-protein coding transcript
Source: RNAcentral
UGCAUCCCGUGGAAUAGUUCAUGAAGUGCUCACAAGAUAUAACUAUCAGCAAUGGAAAACUCUAAUGAAAAGCUAUCUGAGGGGGGAAAAUUUGUGGGAAGUUGUGGUGAAUGGUUAUGCUUCGACACCCAUUGAUGCACAAAGAGACGCAAAGGCUCUGCAUAUUAUUCAACUAUCAUGUGCACCAAUAAUUUUCGAACAAAUUAAACACCUCCAAACCGCCCACGAAGCUUGGAAUCACUUGGCCGAAGUUUGCAGAUCUGAAGUCCAACCGCAUAUUCGACACGGUGUUGUAUCUGACAACGUUAGUGAGCACAAAGAUUUAUACAAGUUUGUGAAAAACGGUGAUUGGGAAGGCACGAGCUCAUACUUGAGGGAUCAACCGAAUGCCAUAUUUUGGGCUCCGCCUUCAGGUAGGACGGUUCUUCAUGUUGCAACAAUAGAAGGACAUAUGAAAAUUGUGGAGUGGUUAGUGUACUUAGGGAAGAAGCAAUUAGUAGAAAUGCAGGAUGAGGAUGGUAAUACUGCUCUUGCUCUUGCUGCUGGUUACACGGGAAACGUUAAUAUAGCAAGAUAUUUUGUAAAUGUGGAAGGUGGCUUAGAAUUGCUUGCUAUAGAGAACAAAGAGGGUGAGAUCCCUCUUCUUCUGGCUGCUAAUUCAGGACGCAAAAGAAUGACUCGUUACCUUCACUUUAGAACUUCUUUCGAUGUCAUUGAUAAGCAGUCUUCUGACAAUCGAGUUUUGCUUCUGGAACGAUGCAUCCAAGCGCAUAUAUUUGAUGUAGCUUUGGGAUUGCUUAAAUCUUACGGGGAACUGCCCAUUCAAUCCUUACGCGUCUUGCAAGAAUUGGCUCGAGUGCCUUCUGAAUAUUCACAGGCCAGCCGUUGGCAGACAAUAGUUU